Cinara cedri is the source of this 773-nucleotide non-coding RNA. The record is from the annotation of a GenBank genome assembly. Lineage: Eukaryota; Metazoa; Arthropoda; Insecta; Hemiptera; Aphididae.
UUUCAAUAAUAAAUUAAAAAAAAGUGAUAUUUCUAAGCCGAUUUUCGAACAUCCGAACAUGGCAAACGAAAGAGCAUAUUUUUUUUCUAUAUAAUGGCAUAUUCUUUAGAGAACUUUUCUAAAUAGUUAAAAUUUAAUGAAGAAUAUAGACAAAAUUUUAGUAUCGUUCGAUAGCGAAUUUUCACGGUUUUUUCAAUUAUAAAUUGAAAAAAAGUGAUAUUUCUAAGCCGAUUUUCGAACAUCCGACCAUGGCAAACGAAAGAGCAUACUUUUUUUCUAUAUAAUGGCAUAUUCUUUAGAGAUCUUUUCUAAAUAGUUAAAAUUUUAUGAAGAAUAUAGACAAAAUUUGAGUAUCGUUCGAUAGCGAAUUUUUACGGUUUUUUCAAUUAUAAAUUGAAAAAAAUUGAUAUUUCUAAGCCGAUUUUCGAACAUCCAACCAUGGCAAACGAAAGAGCAUACUUUUUUCUAUAUAAUGGCAUAUUCUUUAGAAAUUUUUUCUAAAUAGUUAAAAUUUUAUGAGGAAUAUAGACAAAAUUUUAGUAUCGUUCGUUAGCGAAUUUUCACGGUUUUUUCAAUACUAAAUUGAAAAAAAGUGAUACUUCUAAGCCGAAUUUCGAACAUCGGUCAAUUCCAAACGAAAGAGCAUACUUUUUUCUAUAUAGUGGCAUAUUCUUUAGAGAACUUUUUCAAAUAGUUAAAAUUUUAUGGAAAAUAUAGACAAAAUUUUAGUAUCGUUCGAUCGCGAAUUUUCACGGUUUUUUCAAUUAUAAAUU